UGCCAGACAACGGAUAUUCGACUUGUCAUCGUUAUCCUAAUCGAAUACGUUGGACAUCACUCGACUAUCAGAUUCUACAGAAUAAUCGUGUCAACGAACUACGUUUGGAGAUUGGCCGACACCCGGCCCAACGUGCACGCCCGACCAAGGUUCGGACGAUGGACGCUCGACCUACUGUCGGAACGGCUCUCGACCAUCAGAUCCUACACUAUCUGUAUGACAGUCGAGACGCCGGCAUGC
RNAcentral lists this long non-coding RNA (240 nucleotides) under Elaeis guineensis (African oil palm). RNAcentral describes it as "long non-coding RNA (EGUI_LNC035409)". The record is from RNAcentral. Lineage: Eukaryota; Viridiplantae; Streptophyta; Magnoliopsida; Arecales; Arecaceae.